This is a long non-coding RNA of Pomacea canaliculata, 661 nucleotides long. RefSeq lists it as uncharacterized. The transcript has 3 exons. NCBI's taxonomy places the organism in Eukaryota, Metazoa, Mollusca, Gastropoda, Architaenioglossa, Ampullariidae. The record is from RefSeq and is a predicted model, not a curated record.
GUGUUAGCAACAGGGGGUUGCUGCCCCUGUCUUUUGUUUGUCAGAGAUUAUCGCCCUUACCAGUCAGCAUAUGAGUGUUUUUGCUGGGUCGUGGUUUUGCGUCAGAACCCGACGUCAUUUUAUGACGUAGUUUUAGAUUGUGCGGGGCGUGAAAAAGUUUUGGAAGAGGCAGACGACGGGAGACGAGAUAUAGAAAGGACAGGCGUGAAAGUGGUCUGACUGUAAGUGUGGAUACAGGGACCGGUAAUAAGUAAAUUAGUUGCUUGCCCAGUCAAGGAACUACGUAAGGACUCACUGGGAGUGUGGAAUCCCAACGUAACCCCCGGAGAGGUGACGAGAAGCGGACGGAAAAGAUUUUUGGAGAGAGAGGACGGACGGAAAACUGAGGAGCUGUCUGACUGUACGUGUGGAUACAGAGACGGUUGGGAGAAAGGACGAGUAGCGGACAGUGUAUGGAUUGUUCGUUUUGGGGAACUUGUGUAUGUGCAAUUCAAGGAGGAUUUAAUUUUGGGUAUGUUCCACUUAAGUGGUGGCAGCUCGUAUCCGCGCAGCUUUUCAAGGGCCGCCGUUUGGGAGUUCUCAAGCUGUUCUUCGUAGUCUCUGUAUCGAAACAUAAACUGUUCUUAAAGUAAACUGAGCUACGUGUGACUACAGUUGUCCC